CGGCUGAGUAACGCGUAGGAACCUACCCCAAACUCGAGUAUAGCCCCGCGAAAGCGGGGGUAAUCCUCGAUAGCCCGUGAAGUAUUUUACUUCACGGUAAAGCUUUUGCGGUUUGGGAUGGGCCUGCGUCCUAUCAGGUAGUUGGUGAGGUACAUGCUCACCAAGCCUAUGACGGGUAGCUGGUCUGAGAGGAUGGUCAGCCAGACUGGGACUGCGACACGGCCCAGACUCCUACGGGAGGCAGCAACUAGGAAUUGUGCGCAAUGGACGAAAGUCUGACGCCGCGACAUCGCGUGGAGGAUGAAGGUCUUCGGAUUGUAAACUCCUUUUCUUACCGAACAAGUUCUGGAAUGUAAGGUAAGGAAUAAGUGCCUGCUAACCACGGCCCAGAAGCAUCGGUAAUACCGUGGGGCAACGAGCGUUAUCCGGAUUAACUGGGCGUAAAGAGAAAGCGUAGCCGGCUCGAUAAAGUUUGGUGUUAAAUCUUCCCGGCUCAACCGGAAACAAGCACCGAAAACUAUCGAGAUUGAGUCGAGUAGGGAAGAGGGGAAUUCCUGGUGGAGCGGUUAAAUGCGUAGAUAUCAGGAGGAAUACCAAGGGCGAAGGCACCUCUUUGGACUCGUACUGACGCUGAGGCUCGAAAGCGUGGGUAGCAAAACGGAUUAGAUACCCGUGUAGUCCACGCCGUAAACGAUCCCUGUUAGAUGUA
RNAcentral lists this ribosomal RNA (709 nucleotides) under uncultured organism. RNAcentral's name for it is "bacterial SSU rRNA". It matches the Rfam family "Bacterial small subunit ribosomal RNA", at positions 103 to 824 of the family's 1533-position model. The record is from RNAcentral.